This 576-nucleotide ribosomal RNA is filed under the name Isochrysis galbana. Its description in RNAcentral is "partial Bacterial large subunit ribosomal RNA". It matches the Rfam family "Bacterial large subunit ribosomal RNA", at positions 686 to 1256 of the family's 2925-position model. Lineage: Eukaryota; Haptophyta; Isochrysidales; Isochrysidaceae. The record is from RNAcentral.
AAUAGCGCGUAUAGUUCGUAGGAUUAGACCCGAAGCCCGGUGAUCUAGCCAUGGGCAGGGUGAAGUUCGAGUAAAAUCGAAUGAAGGCCCGAACCGGGUAGUGUUGAAAAACUAUCGGAUGACCUGUGGUUAGGGGUGAAAGGCCAAUCAAACCGGGCAAUAGCUGGUUCUCCCCGAAAUAGUUUUAGGACUAGCGUUUUGCGUUCAGUCGGGGGGGUAGAGCACUGAAAGGAUUAGGGGACCUACCAGUCUACCAAACCCUCUCAAACUCCGAAUACCCCGACUCUAGAGCAAGGCAGUCAGACCGUGGGGGAUAAGCUCCAUGGUCGAAAGGGAAACAGCCCAGACCGCCAGCUAAGGUCCCUAAAUCACAGUUAAGUGGGAAACGAUGUGGGAAGGCUCAGACAGCUAGGAGGUUGGCUUAGAAGCAGCCAUCCUUUAAAGAAAGCGUAAUAGCUCACUGGUCUAAAUAAGACUUCUGGCGGCGAAGAUGUAACGGGACUCAAACUAUACACCGAAGCUUUGGAUGCAUACUUUGUAUGCGUGGUAGCGGAGCAUUCUGUAAGUCUGUGAAGG